GAUUAGGAGAUAAAAAGGUUGAAGGAAACAGUUGAUUUCUCCAUUAUUGAAAUUGAUGACUUGGAGGCGGUUUCAAAAAGUAAGGAGAACUUUUUGGAGGAGGCAAUGAUGGAGGUCUCCUUGGAACAUGGGUUUGAUAAUUUUAAAAGCGAGGUGGAUUUUUUCGUUCCAUGAUCUCUCUUUGGAGAAUUUGGGUUUUGGAAGGUAGUGGUUAAUGAGAGGCUAGUAGAUAAAGUCAUCUCACCAAACACGUGUGUUUGGACCAAAUGAG
Molecule: long non-coding RNA, 271 nt
Filed under: Lathyrus oleraceus (garden pea)
Lineage: Eukaryota; Viridiplantae; Streptophyta; Magnoliopsida; Fabales; Fabaceae
Description: Pisum sativum (pea) long non-coding RNA (PSAT_LNC002978)
Source: RNAcentral